AGAGUUUGAUCCUGGCUCAGGAUGAACGCUAGCGGGAGGCCUAACACAUGCAAGCUGAGCGGUAGAGAUCUUUCGGGAUCUUGAGAGCGGCGUACGGGUGCGGAACACGUGUGCAACCUGCCUUUAUCAGGGGGAUAGCCUUUCGAAAGGAAGAUUAAUACCCCAUAAUAUUUUGAGUGGCAUCACUUGAAAUUGAAAACUGAGGUGGAUAAAGAUGGGCACGCGCAAGAUUAGAUAGUUGGUGAGGUAACGGCUCACCAAGUCGAUGAUCUUUAGGGGGCCUGAGAGGGUGAUCCCCCACACUGGUACUGAGACACGGACCAGACUCCUACGGGAGGCAGCAGUGAGGAAUAUUGGACAAUGGGUUAGCGCCUGAUCCAGCCAUCCCGCGUGAAGGACGACGGCCCUAUGGGUUGUAAACUUCUUUUGUACAGGGAUAAACCUAUCUACGUGUAGAUAGCUGAAGGUACUGUACGAAUAAGCACCGGCUAACUCCGUGCCAGCAGCCGCGGUAAUACGGAGGGUGCAAGCGUUAUCCGGAUUUAUUGGGUUUAAAGGGUCCGUAGGCGGAUGCGUAAGUCAGUGGUGAAAUCUCACAGCUCAACUGUGAAACUGCCAUUGAUACUGCGUGUCUUGAGUGAGGUUGAAGUAGCUGGAAUAAGUAGUGUAGCGGUGAAAUGCAUAGAUAUUACUUAGAACACCAAUUGCGAAGGCAGGUUACUAAGUCUCAACUGACGCUGAUGGACGAAAGCGUGGGGAGCGAACAGGAUUAGAUACCCUGGUAGUCC
Molecule: ribosomal RNA, 788 nt
Filed under: uncultured bacterium
Lineage: Bacteria
Description: bacterial SSU rRNA
Rfam family: Bacterial small subunit ribosomal RNA
Source: RNAcentral